Molecule: ribosomal RNA, 1357 nt
Filed under: uncultured bacterium
Lineage: Bacteria
Description: 16S ribosomal RNA
Rfam family: Bacterial small subunit ribosomal RNA
Source: RNAcentral
AUGAACGCUAGCUACAGGCUUAACACAUGCAAGUCGAGGGGCAGCAUGGUCUUAGCUUGCUAAGGCCGAUGGCGACCGGCGCACGGGUGAGUAACACGUAUCCAACCUGCCGUCUACUCUUGGACAGCCUUCUGAAAGGAAGAUUAAUACAAGAUGGCAUCAUGAGUCCGCAUGUUCACAUGAUUAAAGGUAUUCCGGUAGACGAUGGGGAUGCGUUCCAUUAGAUAGUAGGCGGGGUAACGGCCCACCUAGUCUUCGAUGGAUAGGGGUUCUGAGAGGAAGGUCCCCCACAUUGGAACUGAGACACGGUCCAAACUCCUACGGGAGGCAGCAGUGAGGAAUAUUGGUCAAUGGGCGAGAGCCUGAACCAGCCAAGUAGCGUGAAGGAUGACUGCCCUAUGGGUUGUAAACUUCUUUUAUAAAGGAAUAAAGUCGGGUAUGGAUACCCGUUUGCAUGUACUUUAUGAAUAAGGAUCGGCUAACUCCGUGCCAGCAGCCGCGGUAAUACGGAGGAUCCGAGCGUUAUCCGGAUUUAUUGGGUUUAAAGGGAGCGUAGAUGGAUGUUUAAGUCAGUUGUGAAAGUUUGCGGCUCAACCGUAAAAUUGCAGUUGAUACUGGAUAUCUUGAGUGCAGUUGAGGCAGGCGGAAUUCGUGGUGUAGCGGUGAAAUGCUUAGAUAUCACGAAGAACUCCGAUUGCGAAGGCAGCCUGCUAAGCUGCAACUGACAUUGAGGCUCGAAAGUGUGGGUAUCAAACAGGAUUAGAUACCCUGGUAGUCCACACGGUAAACGAUGAAUACUCGCUGUUUGCGAUAUACUGCAAGCGGCCAAGCGAAAGCGUUAAGUAUUCCACCUGGGGAGUACGCCGGCAACGGUGAAACUCAAAGGAAUUGACGGGGGCCCGCACAAGCGGAGGAACAUGUGGUUUAAUUCGAUGAUACGCGAGGAACCUUACCCGGGCUUAAAUUGCAGAUGAAUUACGGUGAAAGCCGUAAGCCGCAAGGCAUCUGUGAAGGUGCUGCAUGGUUGUCGUCAGCUCGUGCCGUGAGGUGUCGGCUUAAGUGCCAUAACGAGCGCAACCCUUGUUGUCAGUUACUAACAGGUUCCGCUGAGGACUCUGACAAGACUGCCAUCGUAAGAUGUGAGGAAGGUGGGGAUGACGUCAAAUCAGCACGGCCCUUACGUCCGGGGCCACACACGUGUUACAAUGGGGGGUACAGAGGGCCGCUACCACGCGAGUGGAUGCCAAUCCCCAAAACCUCUCUCAGUUCGGACUGGAGUCUGCAACCCGACUCCACGAAGCUGGAUUCGCUAGUAAUCGCGCAUCAGCCACGGCGCGGUGAAUACGUUCCCGGGCCU